AUUGAACGCUGGCGGCAUGCCUAACACAUGCAAGUCGAACGGCAGCAUGAGAGAGCUUGCUCUCUUGAUGGCGAGUGGCGGACGGGUGAGUAAUGCAUCGGGACCUACCCAGACGUGGGGGAUAACGUAGGGAAACUUACGCUAAUACCGCAUACGUCCUACGGGAGAAAGCGGGGGAUCUUCGGACCUCGCGCGGUUGGACGGACCGAUGUGCGAUUAGCUAGUUGGUAGGGUAAUGGCCUACCAAGGCGACGAUCGCUAGCUGGUCUGAGAGGAUGAUCAGCCACACUGGGACUGAGACACGGCCCAGACUCCUACGGGAGGCAGCAGUGGGGAAUAUUGGACAAUGGGCGCAAGCCUGAUCCAGCAAUGCCGCGUGUGUGAAGAAGGCCCUCGGGUUGUAAAGCACUUUUAUCAGGAACGAAAUCUGCGGGGUCAAUACCCCCGUAGUCUGACGGUACCUGAGGAAUAAGCACCGGCUAACUUCGUG
RNAcentral lists this ribosomal RNA (490 nucleotides) under uncultured organism. RNAcentral describes it as "bacterial SSU rRNA". It matches the Rfam family "Bacterial small subunit ribosomal RNA", at positions 30 to 507 of the family's 1533-position model. The record is from RNAcentral.